GCCGCAGCUUGACACGCGGCGCGGCCCCCAGUCUCCGCGGCCGCCUCCCCCAUGCAUGGCACAGGGCCUGGCCUCACUAUGGCAGCGGCACGGCACAGCACGCUCGACUUCAUGCUCGGCGCCAAAGCUGAUGGUGAAACCAUCCUAAAAGGUCUACAGUCCAUUUUCCAGGAACAGGGCAUGGCCGAGUCGGUGCAUACCUGGCAGGACCAUGGCUAUCUAGCAACCUACACAGACAAAAAUGGCAGCUUUGCCAAUUUGAGAAUUUAUCCACAUGGAUUGGUGUUGCUGGACCUUCAGAGCUACGACAGUGAUACCCAGAGCAAAGAAGAAAUUGAUAAUCUUUUGAACAAAAUAGAAGAGAGAAUGAAAGAAUUGAGUCAGGCCGGUAUUAGGUGGAUGAAGCAUUUGCCAGCCAUAAUUCGAGGAGGGGCCAUCGACAGGUACUGGCCUACAGCUGAUGGACGUCUGGUUGAGUAUGACAUAGAUGAAGUAGUGUAUGAUGAAGACUCAGCUUAUCAGAACAUUAAAAUUCUACACUCAAAGCAGGUUGGAAAUAUCCUCAUCCUCAGUGGGGAUGUUAAUUUGGCAGAGAGUGAUCUGGCAUAUACCCGGGCCAUCAUGGGCAGUGGCAAAGAAGAUUACACUGGCAAAGACGUACUGAUUCUGGGCGGUGGAGAUGGAGGAAUAUUAUGCGAAAUAGUCAAACUGAAACCAAAGAUGGUCACUAUGGUAGAGAUUGACCAAAUGGUGAUUGAUGCAUGUAAGAAAUACAUGCAGAAAACAUGUAGUGACGUCUUAGACAAUCUCAAAGGAGACUGCUAUCAGGUUCUAAUAGAAGACUGUAUUCCAGUACUGAAGAGGUACGCCAAAGAAGGGAGAGAGUUUGAUUAUGUGAUUAAUGAUUUGACCGCUGUUCCAAUCUCCACAUCUCCAGAAGAAGAUUCCACAUGGGAGUUUCUCAGACUGAUUCUUGACCUCUCAAUGAAAGUACUGAAACAGGAUGGGAAAUAUUUCACACAGGGGAACUGUGUCAAUUUGACAGAAGCCCUGUCUCUAUGAAGAACAGCUUGGGUGCCUGUAUUGUCCUGUGGAAUUCUCCAAGGAGAUCAUCUGUGUCCUUUCAUACUUGGAAUUGUGGGUAUUUUACACUGUCUGGAAGAAAGCUAAACCCUGAAGAUGACUAUCCCCACAAUUGUGCUGCAGAUAGCCUUCCUGACCUGCAUAUCCUGUACACGCAUCAAAUGAGUCAGGCAAUUGAUCGUGACUUUCUUAAUGUUUUCUCUUUUUAAUUAUUAUUUUUAAUUUUAAAAAAGCAAAUGGAAAAUGUAUAUUUUGAUGAACCUAGGGUGUUAUUUUUUUGAAAGUCAGCUGAAGGACAAUUAGACAGCACAGCAAAGACUGCGAAAUGCACUGACCCCUAGAAUGUGAUUUUUGUUACUUUUUAUUUCUGUGUGGGACUUUUCAUUUUGUUUUGUUUUGAUUUUGAUAGAACUUAAAUUUGGACCUUUGGAGGAAUGAACAUCGUUAUUGUGUUUUGGAGGGAAGUUCUUGAAGGUUUUUAAAAAAAAUGACUUAGAUUUAAAAAUUUGGUGCUUAUAAGAAAGUUAAAAAUGAAUAGCAA
This is an RNA transcript of Octodon degus (degu), 1624 nucleotides long. It is a transcript of the gene named spermine synthase pseudogene, with no coding region annotated. The record is from RefSeq and is a predicted model, not a curated record. The transcript has a single exon. NCBI's taxonomy places the organism in Eukaryota, Metazoa, Chordata, Mammalia, Rodentia, Octodontidae.